RNAcentral lists this ribosomal RNA (427 nucleotides) under uncultured bacterium. Its description in RNAcentral is "bacterial SSU rRNA". It matches the Rfam family "Bacterial small subunit ribosomal RNA", at positions 355 to 774 of the family's 1533-position model. RNAcentral also lists the same sequence under 1 other name. The record is from RNAcentral.
UGGGGAAUUUUGGACAAUGGGGGCAACCCUGAUCCAGCCAUGCCGCGUGAGUGAAGAAGGCCUUCGGGUUGUAAAGCUCUUUCGGCCGGGAAGAAAUCGCAUAGGCUAAUACCCUGUGUGGAUGACGGUACCGGAAUAAGAAGCACCGGCUAACUACGUGCCAGCAGCCGCGGUAAUACGUAGGGUGCGAGCGUUAAUCGGAAUUACUGGGCGUAAAGCGUGCGCAGGCGGUUUAGUAAGACAGGCGUGAAAUCCCCGGGCUCAACCUGGGAACUGCGCUUGUGACUGCUAAGCUAGAGUACGGCAGAGGGGGGUGGAAUUCCACGUGUAGCAGUGAAAUGCGUAGAGAUGUGGAGGAACACCGAUGGCGAAGGCAGCCCCCUGGGCCGAUACUGACGCUCAUGCACGAAAGCGUGGGUAGCAAACA